This 253-nucleotide ribosomal RNA is filed under the name uncultured bacterium. RNAcentral's name for it is "partial 16S ribosomal RNA". It matches the Rfam family "Bacterial small subunit ribosomal RNA", at positions 524 to 776 of the family's 1533-position model. RNAcentral also lists the same sequence under 1 other name. The record is from RNAcentral.
GACGUAGGGUGCGAGCGUUGUCCGGAUUUAUUGGGCGUAAAGAGCUCGUAGGCGGCUCGUCGCGUCGACCGUGAAAACCCGCAGCUUAACUGCGGGCUUGCGGUUGAUACGGGCGGGCUAGAGUUCGGUAGGGGAGACUGGAAUUCCUGGUGUAGCGGUGAAAUGCGCAGAUAUCAGGAGGAACACCGGUGGCGAAGGCGGGUCUCUGGGCCGAUACUGACGCUGAGGAGCGAAAGCGUGGGGAGCGAACAGG